AUACCUUUCUUGGCCUUUUGGCUAAGAUCAGGUGUAGUAUGUGUUCAUAUCAGCUGAAUCUCUGAUAUGUGUUCCAUUGACCCACAUGAUAUCAGCCAUUCUAA
Nicotiana sylvestris (wood tobacco) is the source of this 104-nucleotide non-coding RNA. The record is from Rfam. Lineage: Eukaryota; Viridiplantae; Streptophyta; Magnoliopsida; Solanales; Solanaceae.